RNAcentral lists this unclassified non-coding RNA (406 nucleotides) under Microcystis aeruginosa CS 554/01. RNAcentral's name for it is "partial contains 16S ribosomal RNA, 16S-23S ribosomal RNA intergenic spacer, and 23S ribosomal RNA". The stretch from base 1 to 79 matches the Rfam family "Bacterial small subunit ribosomal RNA", at positions 1455 to 1533 of the family's 1533-position model. Lineage: Bacteria; Bacillati; Cyanobacteriota; Cyanophyceae; Chroococcales; Microcystaceae. The record is from RNAcentral.
GCCUAAGGCAGGGCUAGUGACUGGGGUGAAGUCGUAACAAGGUAGCCGUACCGGAAGGUGUGGCUGGAUCACCUCCUUAAAGGGAGACCUAAUUCGGGUAUAAGACGAAAAAAUAGUAGUCGAAACCAAGAAUCAAUCCCAAAAGGUCGGAACGAGGUAUGUGGCUUUCAAACUAGGUUCUGGGUUCACAAAAGACCUGAAUCAGGAACAAGGGCUAUUAGCUCAGGUGGUUAGAGCGCACCCCUGAUAAGGGUGAGGUCCCUGGUUCGAGUCCAGGAUGGCCCACCUGCACAGGUGGCAAAAACAAAGAAGCGAGGAAUCAGCACCUUAUCUUACUUAUAUGGUAAGAGAGAAUGCUGGCUCUGAGUAAAGAGUCCAGAGGAACCUUGAAAACUGCAUAGAGCUA